Molecule: RNA transcript, 1743 nt
Organism: Papaver somniferum (opium poppy)
Lineage: Eukaryota; Viridiplantae; Streptophyta; Magnoliopsida; Ranunculales; Papaveraceae
Exons: 7
Source: RefSeq, a predicted model, not a curated record
AGUUAACACAUAAAAGUGUAUCUUCUUCACAUCUUUCUUUGUACAGAGAAUUUGAGAAAUGGAGAGUCCUUCGCCUGACCAGUUAGAGAUCUUAGAAGAUGCCUAUGCAUUUUCCGCAAAAGGCGGAGCCUAGGCUUCGAUAAGUUCCCAAAGGCGCCUGAAUAUUUUGAGGCCUCUUACCAUUAGGCGUCUUAGCACGUAGGCCCCGCUACUGGACCAUUUUGGAUGGAUUUCUCAUUAGGCCCUGGGAUCUGGGCGCCGCCUAGGCCACAACCCUUAACUAAACAUGAAAACAAGAAGAUCUGGUUUUCUUGUUAAGUGAAAGAUACUUCCGGUGUACUGUAAGCCCAAAGACCAUAAGUUUGAAUCUUGAAAAAAAAUUAAGAAAACAGUGGAGGGAGGAAGAAGUGAGAUAGGACAUUGAAGUUCAACUUUACAGCGAGAGGAAGUAGCCCCGAAACACGAAGUUCAUAACAAACAAGUUCAAAAACAGCUAGGAAAACUAAUUCGGAAGGAGCAAGAGGAAGAAGAUAUCGUAAGGAGAAAGGGGCGGACGGUUGCAAUACACGAGUUCCAUGAGAGAGCAAAAAAAGCGUUUGGAAGCAGGGAUGCGAUUGAAGUUUAUACAAAUGACACUAAAAGACAUUGGGUACAUUUGCAAGUCUCAUGAGUGGCUUUCGAACAACAACAUAGUCCUAUACAUCCGAUUGUUAUAUGAAAAAAUGGAUGGUGAUGCACGCAAAAAUAAGUUUGGAUUUAUAAACCCAGCAGCCAUUCAUUAUAAAGUCAAUAAGGAGGUGUUCGUGAGAAAUGUAUUAAAUGGACUGCAAGAUUCAGUUCAUAGUCGAAAAUACAUAUUUAUUCCUUGUAAUACAGGGCGUAGGUACAAACUAUAUGAGCGAAUGAGCAUGUAAGUUGAUUUUGGGUUGGAACAUUAUUUGUAAUGCAUAGAAGGGUUAGUGCUUAAACCCAUGUCACCUCCCUUGUAGGAUUUGUGAAACUAGUAUCCAGUUUUGACUAGCUGAAUAUCUCAUUUUCCUGUCACCAGUGUCUCGCAAUCUCUGGGUCGAGAAUUGGGUUUCAAGACGUCUGAAAAAAAAGUAUUCUGGGUAGAUGUGAAGGCAGCACACUCCUAAACAAAAAGGAAGCUGGGAGUGUGGAUUCUACAUUAUGUUGUAUAUGAAGCACAUAAUAGAAAGUUAUGACACUGUAAUGCAGAACCCUCACGAGAUGUUUAAGUUGGGAAUGAAAUAUGGUACGUCGGAGAUUGAUGAAGUUAGAAAAGAGUGGAUCGAUUAUGUUGCUCCAUUUCUUCGGAAGUAGUGAAGUUACCACAUCUUCAAUGCGGACAAAGUAGUGAUUUAUAAUGCAGUUUACUUGCUGCAUUAUCAACAUUACUAUUCAAAUCUAACAAACCAUAUCCAUGUUCUAUCUUUGGAUUAUCUAACAUUACUAUUCCUAAUCUAAUUAGGAGCACCGACUGCAUUAUCAACCACUACUUUAUCUGCAUUGAAGUCUUCUUAACUUGUAUCCUGACAUACAAGUUAAGGAUCAUUAUAAAAUUACCUUUUUUAUCUUGGAUAUUGUAAUUUUUCUUUGAUACUUCCAUUCUUGUUGGAAAUUUCAUUUGCUUUCUAAUUAAACUAAACUUCAUGCCAGCUUAGAAAAUGAAAUUCAAAAGCGACAAACAGACAAAACGGCCAAACUGUUUAGAUGGCGCAUAAAUGGACCUAGCCUAAUUAU